UACGUAGGGUGCAAGCGUUGUCCGGAAUUAUUGGGCGUAAAGAGCUCGUAGGUGGUCUGUCGCGUCUGCUGUGAAAACUCGGGGCUUAACCCCGGGCCUGCAGUGGGUACGGGCAGACUAGAGUGCGGUAGGAGAGACUGGAAUUCCUGGUGUAGCGGUGGAAUGCGCAGAUAUCAGGAGGAACACCGAUGGCGAAGGCAGAUCUCUGGGCCGUUACUGACGCUGAGGAGCGAAAGCGUGGGGAGCGAACAGG
RNAcentral lists this ribosomal RNA (253 nucleotides) under uncultured bacterium. RNAcentral's name for it is "partial 16S ribosomal RNA". It matches the Rfam family "Bacterial small subunit ribosomal RNA", at positions 524 to 776 of the family's 1533-position model. The record is from RNAcentral.